This is a long non-coding RNA of Onychostruthus taczanowskii (white-rumped snowfinch), 4833 nucleotides long. RefSeq lists it as uncharacterized. The record is from RefSeq and is a predicted model, not a curated record. The transcript is spliced from 3 exons. Lineage: Eukaryota; Metazoa; Chordata; Aves; Passeriformes; Passeridae.
CUUUGCAUAAUUGUGCUCUCAGUUACCAGCUGGGAACAAACCCGGAGCCCCCAGGGGUGGGCCAGCACUGUCUUGCUCAACUUUCUCACUUUCAGUUUGUCCCAAUUAGAAGCACUUAUUCAGGGAUUAUCCCUGAUUUUCACCUGGGCACUUCAGGGUCUAAUUUCUAACAGGAAUAGCAGCUCUGGGUAGGCUACGCAUUCUGACCUCUUAAAGCUUGCUUUUAUUUCUUCUUUUUUUUUCCCUGCGUAACUCUGGGUGAAGGUGUUCAGGAAUCUCCUCCCGACACCUUUCUUUCCAAGUCUAACACCAUCAGGACUUGCAGACCUUGCCAGGGUUGAUAAAUGCCUGAUCAUUUUGCUGCAUUGUGAGCCAGCAGACUUGGGAGCAGAGAAGGAUCCCACAGGACUGGAAAAUAUCGCUUUUUGCUUAAGCCCAAGGUUUCGUUUGCCUCCCAUGAAGACAGAAGCUGUUCCAGCUUCCACUGCCAUCUCAGUGGGUUAGACCUGAGCUUCCCUGGUGGAUAAAAAACGAGUUAGAAAAUUUUAAACUUGGGUUCCCAUUCCAGAGCAACUGCAGUGGGAUGAGUCAGGCACUGCUGCCACAGGAUAAUGAAGGAGAAUGUGUAUUUUAAUGAGCCCAUUUCAGAGCAGAUGCACUAAUAGCUUUCACAGCAUCUCACAGCUGAGGGUGGAGGGCUGCUUGGGGUUCAUCUGUUCCUAUGAUGGCCAGGUGGCACCAGAAAUGCUCUACAUUGAGCCCUGGCUUUCAUCCCUGGGCAAACAGUGCUACAUGUGCUGUUGCUGGGGCAGAGAGGGACCUGCAACCCCUGCCCAGGGGCAUCUUCCCUCUGCAUCCAGCUCAGGGAUCUCACAGACACCUCUGGCUGCUGACCUUGCACAGCAUGGGUAUGUAGAGCCCUAGCUGAAGCUGCUCUGCUCAUGGGUCCCUUCUGCAUGUAUGGAAGCCCCCCUGCUAUAAAAAGAACAUUUCUGACCCCCAUGUGGCAUUCCUGACUCCCAAAGACCUUGGGGCUGGUUGAGCUGUGUUCCCAACCCUUGUCUGCUUGAGUACAUGUAGUGGCAACAGCUGCAGCUUGGGCUGUGUGACCUCUCAUGGCAGGAGAGCUGGGCUCUCCCUUCUGCUCUAGCUGGACACAGCAUCCCCUGCACACUCCACCCUGGCCUGAUCUCCAUGGUGAUACAUGCAAUCCAGCACAAAACCUCUACAACUGGGAUACACACCUCAGGUCCAAGAAAAGGAUAAGGACAUGGGGACUAGCCUCCCACAGUUCAAUCAUCUUGGAAUGCAUUUACUUGUAAUUAGAAGGAGGAUGAGUUUUUAUAGGAAUAGACAUGUAAGGCACAACCAGUGCUCUGAGACCACAGAGGAGAAAACUGACAUUUUCCUGUACAGGGACAACAUAGAGAUGAAGUAAAGCUGCAGUGUUGAAGUAAAGCUGCAUGUCUCUGCAACCAAGGUCUUUUCACAUAAGCUAUUAAGAUUCAGCUCUACCAUCCUCUUUGAUUUCCUAAUUCACAUUCAUGCAAAUGUUCUCCAAGACAUGGACUGUUGGUGAGCAAAGUAAAGGUUACAGUGCAAUCAGCUGCUGUUACUGUAUGGGAAAACGAGAUCCUGAUGUCUACACUCAGCUGAUCACUGGAAGUAUUCCUAAAGGCUGUACACUAUUGUCAUCAUUGUUGUGAUCACUGUCAGCAGCACCACCACAUCACUCAGUGAGUUGGACUUGGUCCCCCCACGUUGUGUAAGUUAAAUCACAGGCUUCUCCUUGGGACUGAAAGGAUUGCACCUGCACAUGCUGAUCCUUUUUCAUUUAUUCACAAGAUCUCAGGUUUGAGAGUGGGAGUGCACCCAUGGGUGAAGUGCAGCUGGAAUCAAUUGCACAUGCCAAAGGAUGAAGGAUGGAUGACAAACUCCCAGGUGUCUAGAGGGCUUUUUUUCCCUCAAUGACUCCUGACUGAAUAAAGCUGUACUGGAGUGUGACAAAGGCAUUGAUGGGAUGUGUGUCAUUUACCCCCCAAUCUUCAUGAGUUACUGACUGGUGUGUGACUAGCAAGCCUCUCUGGUCUCUUGUCAGGCUGAUCUCAGAGCCAGUCUAUAGUGGCAUAAGGUAUUGGUGGCCCUGCUCACCAAAAUGGGAGAGAGACAACUCCCUCCAGACCAGAUAUAGUCUCUAAAUUCCAUUCCUGAAAAAAAUUCCUAGGGUAGUUACAGAAAUUGUGCAUGCCAAAUUUUCUUGCCCAGGCCAGAGUCCUAGCAGACCAUGCAGGAUUUCAGUUAUGUCCCCUCUUUCCCUGGUACAAUCUAGAUGCCUGCUGUGCAUUUCCAUAAACUGUGGAUAGCAGUGAGCCAAAACCCUCAUCUCAAAGGCACUCUCCAAGAACUAAUGUACUAUGUGCUCACUUUUAUUAAUUUUAAUUUAGAGUUCUUAUGACAGGAACAAUGCAAAUAUUGACUCCAUCAUGGAGUGCAAAGGUUUGCCUGCACAGAAAAAACACACAGUAUGCCCAAAACAGCUUGAAAGGCUGUUCUAUAUUCAGCAAGUUUAUUUUGGUCUCAUCUCUCUAGGAUAAGGAUUGACAUAAGUGACUCUUGAAGGGAGUGACCUCUCAUGCCCUGAGCCCCAGCAGUGUGCACCAGUGCAGCAGCAUCUUCCUGGUACAACAGCAGAGUUUUCAGGGGACCUUUGCAUUUUGCCUGAAAUGGGAAAAUCAUUGCUCUAUGUUAGUUCUUCUGUCACACCCAAGAAAGGAAACCAUAGACAAGUGAAGAAAAAGCAGGUGGCCCAUCCCUUCAGGGCACGUGGUAUAUCUCUGCAGAACCACGGGUGGUAUCUCUCAGCAGAAUCUCAGCAGAAUAUCUGACAUUGUAAGUCAGCAGCCCUCGGAAGCCACUCCAGCCUUGCAGCCAGCAGUGCCCCCGGGCAGGCACACACCUCCCCAGGAAUGCUGCUCAGCCACAGGUGUGGUCUGGGGUGGGCUGGCAAAGCUCCUCCUGCACUAAACAAACAGUGGCUUUGGGGGUGAGGAUGGGGAAUACAGUUCAGCGGGAUGCCAGUUCUGCCAGAAAAUUCUUAGUCCUCACACACAAAACUCCAGUACAGUUGCACCUUCCUCCUUCAUUGAAGAAAGCAGCGCUGGUGUCAAGGAACCUCCUCUGAUCCCAACUGAGUCAUGCCCAAGGGGAGGAUGCUAACGAGAGCUGAGGCUCAGUGAGAAAUGUGGUUAAAUGGAACUACCACACAAUCAUGUCAAUUCCAUAUCCUAGCAUUGAAAGGAGGAAGAGAAUAAAAAUAAAUGUAUAUGCCUCAAUUUUUUUUUAAUUACAAGUAAUGACAUAAUUAAUUUUUUCUGGAGGUCAUUCUAGGACAGUAAUACAGUAAUUUAGGCCAGCUUGACCACAUUGAAAGGGUGCAACUAUGGCUUCCCUACCCUUCAUCGUCUGCCAGUCUUCCUCUUUGCUGAACCACAGUCCAACAAGCAAGAUACCACAAAGAAAAUUUCCUGAUUUGCACUGUGAAAAUGACAAAUGUGGUCAGAAGAGACCUGAUUUCAAAAGGUGAUUAGGUUUAUAUAUGUACAGCACUAGAUAGUCUCUCAGCCUGGACCUUCAUUUAGCUCACAGUAACAUAUGAAUAUGCCUACAGCCCUGGCAAAAAAAAACUGAAACCAAAACUAAAGGAAACAAAAACAAAAAACACCAAAAGAAAAGUCAAAAUAUUAACUUCACAAAUUAGACUGGAGGCAAACUUUCAGCCCAUCAUUACACAGGCAGAUUGUGUGCACUGCUGGUAUAGCACUUCAUUACACCAGCUAAGUCAAAACUUCUAAAAAAAUGUAUUGUAUUAGGUAAAUUCUCCCAUACUUCCCAACAUCAGAACCAUAACAUAAUUUCCAGGGUUUGAAGAUUACAGUGUCUGGAAAGAAAACACUCAAGUUCAGGACAUACCUUGAAAUAGCCAUAUCCACUCACUUUUGACACACACCUGUGCAUGUACAGCACCAGCUGUACAUGUAAAAUAAACAGUCUGUGCAAUCAAACUGCACACCCUGAUAUUUCUACUACUCUUGACUGUGAUUUAGAGGCUGUAAGUUGAAAGUAUAAACAGAAUAUGAAAGCCAUACAAGUCACCUAACUGUUUUUCCCCAAGCAGGAAAGGUUUAUUUGCCUUUGAUGAUAUAAAAUUGCUCUUAGAAGUCUAACAGAUCUUCUGCAGGGAGCUAUAUUUUGCAAUUUUCUUCAAAUGAACCUUGUGGUUGAAUAAGUGUUUUCAGCCCAAAGUUUACAGAGUUAUAUGGAAGUAGAGACUGGUUUUGGUUCCUUCAAAGCCAAUAGAAAUUUUGUCAUCAACUCUGGAACAACCAGAAAUAACUUUCUUAUCACAGAGAAGCUCGGGAAGCUGUCUCAGCUUAAUUUUUCAACCUUAUAUGCUGGCUUUCUCACAUGAUAUUCAGGGUAUAAUCAACUCCCAGUGGUCCUGUUAGAAUAAAUGCCAUUUCAAAUAUCAGACCCUUUACAACUGAGCCCCUUAUAUACUAGAGAAGAGAUUCUGGUGAGUUUCUACCUACAGCACUUUAUUUUUAAUGGGUUAACUCUUGCUCUGUAGAGAUUGGCAGUGGCUUGUAUGGAGUGAGCAGGCCCUGGUGAGCAAGGAUGGGGAAGGGCAGCAAUAAUCUCUGCUAGGAUGUUCUCAUUCUGCAGCCCUCACUGAUGCUUCAGGGAGCAGAGUUCUCAGGUACCACUGUUAUGUGGGUGCCCCUGCUGAUCUCACCUGGGUUACUUCAAAAGCAAUAUUGUUUCCUACUGCUUCAA